This 795-nucleotide ribosomal RNA is filed under the name uncultured archaeon. Its description in RNAcentral is "bacterial SSU rRNA". It matches the Rfam family "Archaeal small subunit ribosomal RNA", at positions 85 to 878 of the family's 1478-position model. The record is from RNAcentral.
ACUGCUCAGUAACACGUGGAUAACCUGCCCUUGGGUCCGGCAUAACCCCGGGAAACUGGGGAUAAUUCCGGAUAACGCAUAUCUGCUGGAAUGCUUUAUGCGUAAAAUGGAUUCGUCUGCCCAAGGAUGGGUCUGCGGCCUAUCAGGUAGUAGUGGGUGUAAUGGACCUACUAGCCAACAACGGGUACGGGUUGUGAGAGCAAGAGCCCGGAGAUGGAUUCUGAGACAUGAAUCCAGGCCCUACGGGGCGCAGCAGGCGCGAAAACUUUACAAUGCGGGAAACCGUGAUAAGGGGACACCGAGUGCCAGCAUCAUAUGCUGGCUGUCCAGAUGUGUAAAAUACAUCUGUUAGCAAGGGCCGGGCAAGACCGGUGCCAGCCGCCGCGGUAACACCGGCGGCCCGAGUGGUGAUCGUGAUUAUUGGGUCUAAAGGGUCCGUAGCCGGUUUGGUCAGUCCUCCGGGAAAUCUGAUAGCUCAACUAUUAGGCUUUCGGGGGAUACUGCCAGACUUGGAACCGGGAGAGGUAAGAGGUACUACAGGGGUAGGAGUGAAAUCUUGUAAUCCCUGUGGGACCACCUGUGGCGAAGGCGUCUUACCAGAACGGGUUCGACGGUGAGGGACGAAAGCUGGGGGCACGAACCGGAUUAGAUACCCGGGUAGUCCCAGCCGUAAACGAUGCUCGCUAGGUGUCAGGCAUGGCGCGACCGUGUCUGGUGCCGCAGGGAAGCCGUGAAGCGAGCCACCUGGGAAGUACGGCCGCAAGGCUGAAACUUAAAGGAAUUGGCGGGGGAGCA